RNAcentral lists this transfer RNA (66 nucleotides) under Cassianeura bimaculata. RNAcentral describes it as "tRNA-Ser". It matches the Rfam family "tRNA". Rfam says of the family: Transfer RNA (tRNA) molecules are approximately 80 nucleotides in length. Their secondary structure includes four short double-helical elements and three loops (D, anti-codon, and T loops). Lineage: Eukaryota; Metazoa; Arthropoda; Insecta; Hemiptera; Cicadellidae. The record is from RNAcentral.
AGUUAAUUAGCUUAAAUAAAGCAUUUACUUUGAAAGUAAGGGAUAGAAAACAUAAUUUAUUAACUU